Molecule: long non-coding RNA, 306 nt
Filed under: Ananas comosus (pineapple)
Lineage: Eukaryota; Viridiplantae; Streptophyta; Magnoliopsida; Poales; Bromeliaceae
Description: long non-coding RNA (ACOM_LNC029149)
Source: RNAcentral
CUACCGAACUGUAAUCUUUAGCAGAUAGCAAUCGGAUUUAAUUUCCCACCUUCCGGGUGUCAGAAUGUCAUGAAACUUUAAAUCUAGCCUCAUAAAAAUAAUCCUAACAUAUUCCCAGAUUUUCGAAAUUUUUUGACAUUGUGUAUUUUUCGCUAAAAUAACAGCAUCGAUUCACACAGAAAAUUCAAAAUCUUCUAUUCUCGCUCCGAUUUCUGCACGAGUCGAUCUCGACUUAUAUUUUACUUCUAUAAGUCUAAUAAAAAUAGUAUCUCACACUAUUUUUAUGUUUACCCUUAUUUUAAAAUC